AUCCAGCUGACCAGUCGCAAAUAGGACAAAACUCCAGUCCUGGGU
Molecule: non-coding RNA, 45 nt
Organism: Schistosoma curassoni
Lineage: Eukaryota; Metazoa; Platyhelminthes; Trematoda; Strigeidida; Schistosomatidae
Source: Rfam